This 492-nucleotide ribosomal RNA is filed under the name uncultured bacterium. RNAcentral's name for it is "partial 16S ribosomal RNA". It matches the Rfam family "Bacterial small subunit ribosomal RNA", at positions 29 to 507 of the family's 1533-position model. The record is from RNAcentral.
AGCGAACGCUGGCGGCAGGCCUAACACAUGCAAGUCGAACGGCAGCACAGUAAGAGCUUGCUCUUACGGGUGGCGAGUGGCGGACGGGUGAGGAAUACAUCGGAAUCUACUUUUUCGUGGGGGUUAACGUAGGGAAACUUACGCUAAUAUCGCAUACGAUCUUCGGGUGAAAGCAGGGGAACUUCGGACCUUGCGCGAUUGAAUGAGCCGAUGUGGGAUUAGCUAGUUGGGGGGGUAAGGGCCAACCAAGGCGACGAUCCGUAGCUGGUUGGAGAGGAGGAUCGGCCACACUGGAACUGGAACCCGGUCCGGACUCCUAGGGGAGGCAGCAGUGGGGAAUAUUGGACAGUGGGGGCAAGCCUGAUCCAGCCAUACCGCGUGGGUGAAGAAGGCCUUCGGGCUGGAAAGCCCGUUUGUUGGGAAAAAAAAGCAGCAGGUUGAUACGCCGCUGUUCUGACGGUACCCAAAGAAUAAGCACCGGCUAACUACGUG